Molecule: long non-coding RNA, 417 nt
Filed under: Ananas comosus (pineapple)
Lineage: Eukaryota; Viridiplantae; Streptophyta; Magnoliopsida; Poales; Bromeliaceae
Description: long non-coding RNA (ACOM_LNC009404)
Source: RNAcentral
GGGUUAAGGGGUGGAAUAACCCCUUAACCCCCAUAUUAUUCCCAAACACUCUAAAAAUGGAUGGGGUUAGCUAACUCCAUCUCAAAUGGGCUAUUCCGGGUUAGCUAAUCCCAUCUAAUCCCACCAAACUCCAACAAAAUAUUAUUUUCUAUUCAUAAUAACCCACUAUCCUUCUUAUCCCACCUACUCCAAUCAAACACUACUUUUCACUAUCCCACUAUCCUUCUUAUCCCACCUACUCCAACCAAACAUUAUUUUUCACUAUUCUGGACUAACUCCAACCCUCAACCAAACAUAAAAAUACUCUAACCCCACCUUCACUCUGAACUUAACCCUAUUCCUGGAAUAACUAGUUUUUUUCUUAACUCCGAACCAAACGAUAAGAAUAUAAGACCAUGAGUGAUGUGACUUACAACA